GUCUCUUUGUAAAUAAUAGAUGAAGAGUCGGGCCUGCUCGGUGAAUAAUUUUUUUUAACAGCUGCGGUAUUUUAACUGUACUAAGGUAGCAUAAUAAUUUGCCUUAUAAUUUGAGGCUAGAAUGAAUGGUUUGACGAAGGUUAAUCUGUCUCUAUCCUAUUUUUUAGAAUUUAAUUUUUAAAGUGAAAAAGCUUGUAUUUUUUAAGGGGACGAGAAGACCCUAUUGAGCUUAUAAUUUUAUUGUUAUUUAUUAGUAUAUUGUGGUAUAAUAACAUAUAAAUUUUAAUUGGGGUGAUUAAGGAAUAAAAGUAUUAUAAUUAGUAACUUCCUUAGAAUAUUUAUUGUUGGAUGAAGUAACCAAUAUUAUUGCUUAUAAGAUAGUUACCAUAGGGAUAACAGCGUAAUUUAUUUAGAGAGUUCUUAUUGAAAAAUGAGAUUGCGACCUCGAUGUUGGAUUAAAGUAACCUUAAGGUGAAGAAGCUUUAGAAGGUAAAUCUGUUCGAUUUUUAAAACUUUACA
Molecule: ribosomal RNA, 519 nt
Filed under: Octopoteuthis sp. HJ-2019
Lineage: Eukaryota; Metazoa; Mollusca; Cephalopoda; Oegopsida; Octopoteuthidae
Description: partial small subunit ribosomal RNA
Rfam family: Bacterial large subunit ribosomal RNA
Source: RNAcentral